UACGUAGGGUGCAAGCGUUAAUCGGAAUUACUGGCGUAAGGCGUGACGCAGGCGGUGAUGUAAGACAGGUGUGAAAUCCCCGGGCUUAACCUGGGAACUGCAUUUGUGACUGCAUCGCUGGAGUGCGGCAGAGGGGGAUGGAAUUCCGGCGUGUAGCAGUGAAAUGCGUAGAUAUGCGGAGGAACACCGAUGGCGAAUGGCAAU
RNAcentral lists this ribosomal RNA (204 nucleotides) under uncultured bacterium. RNAcentral's name for it is "partial 16S ribosomal RNA". It matches the Rfam family "Bacterial small subunit ribosomal RNA", at positions 524 to 725 of the family's 1533-position model. The record is from RNAcentral.